GAUGCAGAACGUAGCGAAAUGCGAUAAGUAAUGUGAAUUGCAGAAUUCAGUGAAUCAUCGAAUCUUUGAACGCACAUUGCGCCCCUUGGUAUCCCGAGGGGCAUGCCUGUUCGAGCGUCAUUUCACCACUCAAGCCUGGCUUGGUGUUGGGCGACGUCCCCUUUGGGGACGCGCCUCGAAACGCUCGGCGGCGUGGCACCGGCUUUAAGCGUAGCAGAAUCUUUCGCUUUGGAAGUCGGGGCCCCGUCUGCCGGAAGACCUACUCGCAAGGUUGACCUCGGAUCAGGCAGGGAUACCCGCUGAACUUAAGCAUAUCAAUAAGCGGAGGA
RNAcentral lists this unclassified non-coding RNA (329 nucleotides) under soil metagenome. RNAcentral's name for it is "partial contains 5.8S ribosomal RNA, internal transcribed spacer 2, and large subunit ribosomal RNA". The stretch from base 1 to 120 matches the Rfam family "5.8S ribosomal RNA", at positions 35 to 154 of the family's 154-position model. The record is from RNAcentral.